UACGUAGGGUGCGAGCGUUAAUCGGAAUUACUGGGCGUAGAGCGUGCGCAGGCGGCUUCGCAAGUCAGGUGUGAAAUCCCCGGGCUUAACCUGGGAAUGGCGCUUGAAACUGCGGGGCUAGAGUCUGCCAGAGGGGGGUGGAAUUCCACGUGUAGCAGUGAAAUGCGUAGAGAUGUGGAGGAACACCGAUGGCGAAGGCAGCCCCCUGGGGUAAGACUGACGCUCAGGCACGAAAGCGUGGGGAGCAAACAGGAUUAGAUACCCUGGUAGUCCACGCCCUAAACGAUGUCAACUAGUUGUUGGGGGAGUUGAAUCCCUCGGUAACGGAGCUAACGCGUGAAGUUGACCGCCUGGGGAGUACGGCCGCAAGGUUAAA
This 376-nucleotide ribosomal RNA is filed under the name uncultured bacterium. Its description in RNAcentral is "bacterial SSU rRNA". It matches the Rfam family "Bacterial small subunit ribosomal RNA", at positions 524 to 898 of the family's 1533-position model. The record is from RNAcentral.